GGCCGCCUUCGAAGAGUCGACCUGUUUGUGAAUGCAGCUCUAAAUGGGAGGUAAAUAUCUUCUAAAGCUAAAUAUUGGCCAGAGACCGAUAGCGAACAAGUAGAGUGAUCGAAAGAUGAAAAGAACUUUGAAAAGAGAGUUAAACAGUACGUGAAAUUGUUGAAAGGGAAGCGCUUGAGAUCAGACUUCCUGUCUGGACUGUCCUUGCUUUUGCUUGGGUCAACAGUCCAGGCGUGGAGGCCAGCAUCAGUUUUGACGGCCGGAUAAAGGCCUUGGGAAGGUAGCUCCUCUCGGGGAGUGUUAUAGCCCAGGGUGUAAUACGGCCAGUUGGGACUGAGGACCGCGGCUUUGCCUAGGAUGCUGGCGUAAUGGUCUUAAGCGACCCGUCUUGAAACACGGACCAAGGAGUCUAACAUCUGUGCGAGUGUUUGGGUGGAAAACCCGUGCGCGAAAUGAAAGUGAAUGGAGGUGGGAUCCGCAAGGUGCACCAUCGACCGAUCCGGAUUUUUUUGAAGGAUUUGAGUAAGAGCAUAGCUGUUGGGACCCGAAAGAUGGUGAACUAUGCCUGAAUAGGGCGAAGCCAGAGGAAACUCUGGUGGAGGCUCGUAGCGGUUCUGACGUGCAAAUCGAUCGUCGCUUUCCGUAUCUGAACGAAAGCU
This 659-nucleotide ribosomal RNA is filed under the name Taphrina americana. RNAcentral describes it as "LSU rRNA". It matches the Rfam family "Eukaryotic large subunit ribosomal RNA", at positions 249 to 931 of the family's 3401-position model. The record is from RNAcentral. Lineage: Eukaryota; Fungi; Ascomycota; Taphrinomycetes; Taphrinales; Taphrinaceae.